Molecule: unclassified non-coding RNA, 403 nt
Filed under: soil metagenome
Description: partial contains 5.8S ribosomal RNA, internal transcribed spacer 2, and large subunit ribosomal RNA
Rfam family: 5.8S ribosomal RNA (bases 1-121)
Source: RNAcentral
GAUGAAGAACGUAGCGAAAUGCGAUAAGUAAUGUGAAUUGCAGAAUUCAGUGAAUCAUCGAAUCUUUGAACGCACCUUGCGCCCUUUGGCUAUUCCGAAGGGCAUGCCUGUUUGAGUAUCAUGAACACCUCAACUCUUUAUGGUUUUCCAUGAAGGGCUUGGACUUUGGGGGUCUUGCUGGCCUUUAGUCAGCUCCUCUCAAACGAAUCAGCUUUCCAGUGUUUGGCAGCGUCACAGGUGUGAUAACUAUCUACGCUUGUGGUUUUCUGCCAGGUAAUCCUCAGUGAUGGGGAUUCGCUGGGGCUUAUAAAUGUCUCUCCUCAGCGAAGACAGCUUUGUGAACGUUUGUUCUCAAAUCAGGUAGGACUACCCGCUGAACUUAAGCAUAUCAAUAAGCGGAGGA